Molecule: unclassified non-coding RNA, 240 nt
Filed under: soil metagenome
Description: partial contains 5.8S ribosomal RNA, internal transcribed spacer 2, and large subunit ribosomal RNA
Source: RNAcentral
AAGACUAUAGACCUGCGGAGUACCUGCGGAGGGAUCAUCAUCGAAUUCAUAUCCCCCUCCUCUCCCGGAGGGGGACCCAUGAUAAGCCCUUCUGUGCACCGUAAACCGUUCACUUUGGUAGGCUUUGGUGGUGAGCGUGAGCUCGUCUCCAACCUCGCGUUCCCUCUUCCCUAAGGGUGUUACGCGUGGCGGCCUGCCGAAGUCCUCCCAUUAAAAACACGUUUUCGAACACGUCUGAAA